Molecule: unclassified non-coding RNA, 204 nt
Filed under: soil metagenome
Description: partial contains 5.8S ribosomal RNA, internal transcribed spacer 2, and large subunit ribosomal RNA
Source: RNAcentral
AACAAGGCGUACCUGCGGACCUGCGGAGGGAUCAUUACCGAGUUUACAACUCCCAAACCCCUGUGAACAUACCAAUUGUUGCCUCGGCGGAUCAGCCCGCUCCCGGUAAAACGGGACGGCCCGCCAGAGGACCCCUAAACUCUGUUUCUAUAUGUAACUUCUGAGUAAAACCAUAAAUAAAUCAAAACUUUCAACAAUGGAUCU